This 497-nucleotide ribosomal RNA is filed under the name uncultured bacterium. Its description in RNAcentral is "partial 16S ribosomal RNA". It matches the Rfam family "Bacterial small subunit ribosomal RNA", at positions 28 to 507 of the family's 1533-position model. The record is from RNAcentral.
GAUGAACGCUGGCGGCGUGCCUAAUACAUGCAAGUCGAGCGAACAGACGAGGAGCUUGUUCCUCUGACGUUAGCGGCGGACGGGUGAGUAACACGUGGAUAACCUACCUAUAAGACUGGGAUAACUUCGGGAAACCGGAGCUAAUACCGGAUAAUAUCUUGAACCACAUGGUUCAAUAUUGAAAGACGGUUUUGCUGUCCCUAAUGGAUGUAUCCGCGCCGCAUUGGCUAGUUGGUAAGGUAACGGCUUACCAAGGCAACGAUGCGUAGCCGACCUGAGAGGGUGAUCGGCCACACUGGAACUGAGCCACGGUCCAGACUCCUACGGGAGGCAGCAGUAGGGAAUCUUCCGCAAUGGGCGAAAGCCUGACGGAGCAACGCCGCGUGAGUGAUGAAGGUCUUCGGAUCGUAAAACUCUGUUAUUAGGGAAGAACAAAUGUGUAAUUAACUAUGCACGUCGUGACGGUACCUAAUCAGAAAGCCACGGCUAACUACGUG